This 497-nucleotide ribosomal RNA is filed under the name uncultured bacterium. Its description in RNAcentral is "partial 16S ribosomal RNA". It matches the Rfam family "Bacterial small subunit ribosomal RNA", at positions 28 to 507 of the family's 1533-position model. The record is from RNAcentral.
GAUGAACGCUGGCGGCGUGCCUAUUACAUGCAAGUCGAGCGAACGGACGAGAAGCUUGCUUCUCUGAUGUUAGCGGCGGACGGGUGAGUAACACGUGGAUAACCUACCUAUAAGACUGGGAUAACUUCGGGAAACCGUAGCUAAUACCGGAUAAUAUUUUGAACCGCAUGGUUCAAAAGUGAAAGACGGUCUUGCUGUCACUUAUAGAUGGAUCCGCGCUGCAUUAGCUAGUUGGUAAGGUAACGGCUUACCAAGGCAACGAUGCAUAGCCGACCUGAGAGGGUGAUCGGCCACACUGGAACUGAGACACGGUCCAGACUCCUACGGGAGGCAGCAGUAGGGAAUCUUCCGCAAUGGGCGAAAGCCUGACGGAGCAACGCCGCGUGAGUGAUGAAGGCCUUCGGAUCGUAAAACUCUGUUAUUAGGGAAGAACAUAUGUGUAAGUAACUGUGCACAUCUUGACGGUACCUAAUCAGAAAGCCACGGCUAACUACGUG